Molecule: ribosomal RNA, 267 nt
Filed under: uncultured bacterium
Lineage: Bacteria
Description: partial 16S ribosomal RNA
Rfam family: Bacterial small subunit ribosomal RNA
Source: RNAcentral
UGCGUCUAAUACAUGCAAGUCGAGCGCAACUUCGGUUGAGCGGCGGACGGCUGAGUAACACGUUGGUAGCUACCCCUCACUCAGGGAUAAGCAUGAGAAAUCAUGUCUAAUACCGGAUGGUCCCGAAAGGGUAAAGAUUUUUCGGUGAGGGAGGUGCCUGCGGUCUAUCACGCUUGUUGGUAAGGUAAUGGCUUACCAAGGCUAUGACGGAUAACUGGUCUGAGAGGAUGAUCAGUCAGAGGGAAACUGAGACACGGUUCCCACUCC